RNAcentral lists this unclassified non-coding RNA (364 nucleotides) under uncultured bacterium. Its description in RNAcentral is "contains 16S-23S intergenic spacer region". The record is from RNAcentral.
UCCGGGUUGGACCCGGCGGUCCCGCCAGACAUGGUAACUGGCAGCGAGGGUUGCGCUCGUUGCGGGACUUAACCCAACACCUCACGGCACGAGCUGACGACAGCCAUGCAGCAUCUGUGCACGCUCCCUUGCGGGUCCUUCCGCUUUCGCGGUCGUACCACGUGCAUGUCAAGCCCAGGUAAGGUUCUUCGCGUUGCGUCGAAUUGAACCACAUGCUCCGCUGCUUGUGCGGGUCCCCGUCAAUUCCUUUGAGUUUUAGCCUUGCGGCCGUACUCCCCAGGCGGGGCACUUAAUGCGUUAGCUGCGGCACGGAGGGAGUCGACACCCCCCACACCUAAUGAGCAUCGUUUAGGGCUAGGACUAC